Non-coding RNA from Cricetulus griseus (Chinese hamster), 584 nucleotides. NCBI's taxonomy places the organism in Eukaryota, Metazoa, Chordata, Mammalia, Rodentia, Cricetidae. The record is from RefSeq and is a predicted model, not a curated record.
GCUGCUUAAAAUACUGUUUGUGCUUUUCAUUUAGGUGGCUGUACUCCAAUCCCAGAGUCAGACACAGAGGAAAGAUCACCAGAAGAGUCCGCAGAACUGUUUACCAACCACAAGCACCUCAUUGCAGAGACCCCCGUGCCUGAAGUUGCAGCCCUCCAAGGAGUUUUGGAAUAGUCAGAGUCAAGCUAACUAGAUGGAAGGAAGACACCCUUUCUGAGGCCAACCCUGUGUGGACAUUGUGCUCCUACCUGGUGCUGUGCCAAGCUCACCCCUGGAGGUGACUUCGUGGAGAUGGGGACAGAGCUUUUGAUUGUGCUGGGAGAACUUGGAAUAUCACAGAUGGGUCAUCUGAAAGACAAGAUUUGUCUUUUCUUCCCAGGAAAACUGUUGCUACCCUUAGUCAUGAGUGCUUAUAGAUAGGGGAUAUAGCAAGAUGACAAAUAUAUAAUGACUAUAUAAUGCAGGGAUCUCGAUGUAAAAUAAUUUGAUAGCCCCCUUUUUCACAGAUUUCUUAUGUAGUAAAUGUAUCAAGUUUAAUAAAGCAUCUAACGGUCAAACAAUAAUGUGGACAUAAUUUGUAACAA